RNAcentral lists this ribosomal RNA (402 nucleotides) under Verrucomicrobiota bacterium. RNAcentral's name for it is "Verrucomicrobia bacterium partial 16S ribosomal RNA". It matches the Rfam family "Bacterial small subunit ribosomal RNA", at positions 355 to 776 of the family's 1533-position model. Lineage: Bacteria; Pseudomonadati; Verrucomicrobiota. The record is from RNAcentral.
UGGGGAAUUUUGCACAAUGGGGGAAACCCUGAUGCAGCGACGCCGCGUGAUUUAGAAGGCCUUCGGGUUGUAAAAAUCUUUUGUAUGGGAAGAAAAUGACAGUACCAUACGAAUAAGGACCGGCUAAUUACGUGCCAGCAGCCGCGGUAAUACGUAAGGUCCGAGCGUUGUCCGGAAUCAUUGGGCGUAAAGGGUACGUAGGCGGAUAAGCAAGUUAGAAGUGAAAUCCUAUAGCUCAACUAUAGUAAGCUUUUAAAACUGCUCAUCUGGAGGUAUGGAAGGGAAAGUGGAAUUCCUGGUGUAGCGGUGAAAUGCGCAGAUAUUAGGAGGAAUACCGGUGGCGAAGGCGACUUUCUGGACUUUUACUGACGCUCAGGUACGAAAGCGUGGGGAGCAAACAGG